UGCCAACCCCGAGACAGCCUCCCUUC
RNAcentral lists this non-coding RNA (26 nucleotides) under Homo sapiens (human). The record is from RNAcentral. Lineage: Eukaryota; Metazoa; Chordata; Mammalia; Primates; Hominidae.